UGCCAGCAGCCGCGGUAAUACGGGAGGGGCAAGCGUUAUCCGAAAUUACUGGGCUUAAAGAGUUCGUAGGUGGUUAAAAAAGUUGGUGGUGAAAUCCCAGAGCUUAACUCUGGAACUGCCAUCAAAACUUUUUAGCUAGAGUAUGAUAGAGGAAAGCAGAAUUUCUAGUGUAGAGGUGAAAUUCGUAGAUAUUAGAAAGAAUACCAAUUGCGAAGGCAGCUUUCUGGAUCAUUACUGACACUGAGGAACGAAAGCAAGGGUAGCGAAAGGGAUUAGAUA
RNAcentral lists this ribosomal RNA (279 nucleotides) under uncultured bacterium. Its description in RNAcentral is "partial 16S ribosomal RNA". It matches the Rfam family "Bacterial small subunit ribosomal RNA", at positions 506 to 784 of the family's 1533-position model. The record is from RNAcentral.